RNAcentral lists this ribosomal RNA (440 nucleotides) under uncultured bacterium. RNAcentral's name for it is "partial 16S ribosomal RNA". It matches the Rfam family "Bacterial small subunit ribosomal RNA", at positions 338 to 795 of the family's 1533-position model. The record is from RNAcentral.
CCUACGGGUGGCAGCAGUGGGGAAUAUUGCACAAUGGGGGAAACCCUGAUGCAGCGACGCCGCGUGAGUGAAGAAGUAAUUAGUUAUGUAAAGCCUUAUCAGCAGGGAAGAAAAUGACGGUACCCGAGUAAGAAGCAGCGGCUAACUACGUGCCAGCAGCCGCGGUCAUACGUAGGGGGCAAGCGUUAUCCGGAUUUACUGGGUGUAAAGGGAGCGUAGACGGCAGUGCCGGGCUGGAGUGAAAGGCGUGAGCCCAACCCCCGGACUGCUCUGGAAACUGUACGGCUGGAGUGCAGGAGAGGUAAGUGGAAUUCCUAGUGUAGCGGUGAAAUGCGUAGAUAUUAGGAGGAACACCAGUGGCGAAGGCGGCUUACUGGACUGUAACUGACGUUGAGGCUCGAAAGCGUGGGGAGCAAACAGGAUUAGAUACCCGAGUAGUC